Molecule: long non-coding RNA, 944 nt
Filed under: Mus musculus (house mouse)
Lineage: Eukaryota; Metazoa; Chordata; Mammalia; Rodentia; Muridae
Description: long non-coding RNA chr2:24494067-24495011
Source: RNAcentral
AUGUCUAAAUCAGUAUCUCCCAAGGAGCCGGAACAGUUGUGGAAGCUCUUCAUCGGAGGGCUGAGCUUUGGAACAACCAAUGAGAAUCUGAGGAGCCAUUUUGAGCAAUAGAGAAGAGUAACCGACUGUGUGGUACCGAGAGAUCCAGUGGCUUUAGAUUUGUCACACACGCCACUGUGGAGGAAGUGGAUGCUGCCAUGAAUGCGAGAUCACACAAGGUGGAUGAGAGAGCUGUGGAACCUAAGAGAGCUGUGUCAAGAGAGAGAGACCAGGUGCCCACUUAACUGUGAGAAAGGUCUUUGUUGGUGGUAUUAAAGAAGACACUGAAGAGCAUCACCUAUGAGAUUAUUUUGAGCAGUAUGGGAAGAUAGAAGUGAUAGAAACUAUGACUGACAGAGGCAGUGGAAAAAAAGAGGGACUUUGCUUUUGUCACCUUUGAUGACCAUGACUCUGUGGAUAAGAUUGUUAUUCAGAAAUACCAUACUGUGAAUGGCCACAACUGUGAAAUAAGAAAGGCUCUGUCAAAGCAAGAGAUGGCUAGUGCUUCAUCCAGCCAGAGAGGUCGCAGUGGUUCUGGAAACUUUGGUGGUGGUGGUGAAGGCGGUUUUGGUGGCAAUGACAAUUUUGGUCAAGGAGGGAACUUUAGCGGUCAUGGUGGCUUUGGUGGCAGCCGUGGUGGUGGUAGAUGUGGUGGCAGUGGGGGUGGCUAUAAUGGAUUUGGCAAUAAUGGAAGCAAUUUUGGAGGUGGUGGAAUCUACAAUGAUUUUGGCAAUUACAACAAUCAGUCUUCAAAUUUUGGACCUAUGAAGGGAGGAAACUUUAGAGGCAGGAGCUCUGGCCCUUAUGGUGGUGGAGGCCAGUACAUUGCUAAACCAGGAAACCAAGGUGGCUACGGAGGUUCCAGCAGCAGCAGCAGUAGCUAUGGCAGUGGCAGGAGGUUCUAA